UAACUGCUGUUAUCAAUCAGCACUCCUACUACUCUUAUUACAAAACUGGCUUGUCGGAGCACUAGUAUAAACUAUAAAGCAGGUCCGGUUUGAUUGGCGUCAAAAUUUCCGGCGAGUUUCAAGAUUCCCUCUCCUACCAACGUGAUCUAAGCUGCUCUGCCUGAUCCUGGAUUCCCGCGCCACCACGGGCCACUCUUACUUGCUCAAAUUCUGUUUGGUUACGUUUAUGGGACAUCCUUAGUUUGGUUCAGGGCAGCUUUCUACUUUCGGAAACUUUGGGUCUGCUUUCAUUCUCCGGCGGAACUUGCCGGCUGUUGGGACUUUCAGCGGCUGAACUGUGAUGGAUUUUUCGAGUUCUAGCGGAAUUCGGCUUUGUAUUGGCAUUUUCAGUUGUGUUUGGAUGGUGGGACAAAAUCUUUCAGCUGCGGAAGGUUUAUUUCUUUUUUGAAAGAGAAGGGAAGUUUUGUGAAACUUUAAGGACUAAGAAGAAAAAGAAAGAUUGAAUAGUGGUUUUUGUAGAUUGAGAAUUUGAAGAAAAGUUUUUUGGAUUCUUGGCAAAGUGGGAGUUUGUAUAAUGUCUUUGAAGAGUUUCAAAUUACUGUUUUUGCAGAGCAAAGCAGUUUCUUUUGUGGGAUUUCAGAGUCUUUUUUUGUCAAUUCUAAGAGAAUACGUUUUCUUCCAUUGCAGACUGAUUCCAGUUAAUAGUAUCUGAUUACUAGAAGAUUUUAAUUAGUUAGAUUGUGUAGAUUGGUGUUUGUGAAUCCAUUUUGCUGAAAAAUGAAGGCUCCAACAAAUGGUUAUCUUGCUAAUUCAGGAGAAGGAGAACGAAAGGCAAUAAAUUCUGAGUUAUGGCACGCUUGUGCUGGUCCACUGGUUUCCUUGCCUCCUGUUGGAAGUCUGGUGGUCUACUUUCCUCAGGGUCACAGUGAACAAGUUGCAGCAUCUAUGCAAAAGGAGACUGACAGCAUCCCCAGUUAUCCUAACCUGCCAUCGAAGUUAAUUUGCUUGCUGCAUAAUGUAACUCUACAUGCUGAUCCUGAAACUGACGAGGUCUAUGCACAGAUGACUCUUCAACCUGUAAAUAAAUAUGACCAGGAAGCGUUACUCCUAUCAGAUAUGGGCCUCAAGCAAAGCAGACAACCUGCUGAAUUUUUCUGCAAAACUCUUACAGCCAGUGAUACAAGCACACAUGGUGGAUUCUCUGUACCACGUCGAGCUGCUGAAAAGAUUUUUCCACCUUUAGACUUUUCAAUGCAACCACCUGCUCAGGAGCUAGUGGCUAGGGAUUUGCAUGACCAAACAUGGACAUUCAGACACAUAUAUCGAGGUCAACCAAAAAGACACCUAUUGACAACAGGGUGGAGUGUCUUUGUCAGCUCUAAAAGACUGGUGGCUGGUGAUUCAGUCCUAUUCAUAAGAGAUGAAAAGUCGCAGCUUUUAUUGGGUAUAAAGCGUGCUAAUAGACAGCUGCCUGCACUCUCAUCAUCAGUUAUAUCUAGCGAUAGCAUGCACAUUGGAAUUUUGGCUGCUGCAGCUCAUGCUGCUGCCAAUAGCAGCCCCUUUACUAUUUUUUACAAUCCAAGGGCUAGUCCUUCUGAAUUUGUAAUACCUUUUGCCAAAUAUAACAAAGCCAUGUAUGCACAAGUUUCCUUGGGAAUGAGAUUUAGAAUGAUGUUUGAGACUGAAGAGUCUGGAGUGCGUAGGUACAUGGGUACAAUUACUGGUAUUGCUGACUUGGAUCCAGUCCGCUGGAAAAGUUCACAGUGGAGAAAUCUUCAGGUUGGAUGGGAUGAGUCUACAGCUGGGGAACGUCCCAGUCGAGUUUCAAUUUGGGAAAUUGAACCUGUUGUGACUCCUUUCUAUAUAUGUCCACCCCCAUUUUUCAGACCCAAGUUUCCUAAACAUCCAGGCUUUCCAGAUGAUGAAUCUGACAUGGAAAGUGUGUUUAAGAGAGGCAUGCCCUGGCUUGGAGAUGAUCUUGGCCUCAAAGAUGCCACCAGCUCUGUAUUACCUGGCUUGAGUUUGGUCCAGUGGAUGAACAUGCAACAGAAUAACCAAUUAUCUGCUGCUCAGUCAGGAAUUUUUCCAAGCGCCUUAAAUGGUAAUUUGAGCACAGAAGAUCACUCGAAGCUGUUGAAUUUUCAAUCCCCUGCACUUGCUGCAACAAAUCUCCAAUUUGGGAAGACAAAUCAAUUCAAUCAGCAAACUAAUCAACUCCAGCAGACAUCUUUGGUGGGGACCCAACCACAACAGCUGCAGCAGUUGUUGCAUUCUUCUGUGAAUUCCCAGCAGCAACAACAUCCACAACAGCAUUCAAUCCAGCUUCGGCAGCAACCCCAACUACCACAGCAUCAGCAACAGUGUCCUCCACAUUUGCAGCAGCCGCAGCAGCUGCAGCAACAACAAAAUAUGAUGCCGUUGGCUUCUGUUAAUAAUGGUCCCUCUGUAGCAACCAGCCAGAUUCCAAAUCAGAAUUUGCAGCAGCCUGCAUUAUACUCCCAGCUUCAACAGCAACACUUACUGACAGGAAAUACACAACCACAGCAACCUGCCUCAUCUAACAAAAGUUCUUUAACAUCCUUACCCCAAGAUGUGCAGUAUCAGCAACUGGAACACCAGAAUAACCUAUUGCAGAAGACCCAGCAACAGCAGACACCUAUGCUUCAAGCUCCACUACAGACACUGCAGCAAAAUUUAAUCCAAAGACAGCAAGUACAACAGACAUCACAACAGAAUCUUUCAGAGCAGAACCUGCAACUCCAGCUACUCCAAAAAUUGCAGCAGCAACAGCAACAGCAACAGUUGUUGUCCCCGUUAAGCAAUCAUUUGGAGCCUCAGUUGCCCCAACAACAGCAGCCUCUUCAACAAAACCGACCGUUCCAGCAAGCACCAGUUGCUCAACAGCAACCCAGUGGCAACAGCUUUUCAACAUCUACGCUUCUGCAGUCACCACAACAUCCUGUUAACCAACUCCAAGGUCAGAACAAAUCACGUAUUUUUGUCAAAGCCUAUUCUGGACCAACAGAUGGAGAUGCUCCAUCAUGUUCAACAUCACCUUCAACAAAUAAUUGCCAUGUGUCCUCAUCAAAGUUCCCGAAUAGGAACCAACAAGGGCCAAUCACUCAGGCAGGAGAAUCGGUCAUUGAUCCUUCCCCUAUCCUGGUUCAUGAGCUUCAGAGCAGGUCUGAUGUCCGAGUAAAGCAUGAAUUAUCCGGCUCAAAGGGAGCAGAGCAACCUAAAUUCAGAAGCAAUACAGAACACUUGGAUGCAGCCUCAUCUGCUACAUCAUAUUGCUUGGAUACUGGUGGCAUCCAACAGAAUUUUCCACUGCCUGGCUUAUGUUUGGACAGUGAUGUCCAAUCGCAUUCUAGGAGCACUCUGCCUUUCACUUCCACUGUUGACUCAUUGGCGCCUGACGCUUUGUUAUCAAGGGGUUAUGACUCAGGAAAGGACAUCCAGAAUGUGCUUUCUAAUUAUGGUGGCAGCUCGAGGGAUAUUGAGACAGAGUUAUCUGCUGCUGGUUUUGGAGUUCCAAACAUGUCUUUUAAACCAGGCUGUUCAAAUGAUGUACCCAUUACUGAAGCUGGUGUCCUGAAUAGUGGCCUGUGGCCCAACCAAACUCAGCGCAUGCGAACGUACACAAAGGGGAGGGGUGGGAACUUGAACCCAAAACCUUUAACUCCUGAGGUUUCAACCUCAGCCACUAACCAAGGCCUCCUCUGCAAACAUUUUGCAGAAACCUGCUAUCAUGGUGCAUCACAAUAAACUAGAUCCACUAUUGUAGUGAUUAGCUCUGUUUCUUCUGUUAGACUUGCUCGCAGAGAUGCAACAAAGUGGUUCAGUUUAGGAUAUGCAACUUCUGCCCCUAUUGUUUAACUUAUUAUUUCAGAAAUAACAGUACCAUCUAAUACUGGUUGAAAAAUGGAAAAGGUUCAAAAACGUGGCUCUGUGGGAAGAACUAUUGAUGUCACGCGCUACAAGGGCUAUGAUGAGCUUAGGCAUGACCUAGCACGGAUGUUUGGAAUUGAGGGACAGCUAGAAGAUACACAAAGGAUUGAGUGGAAGCUUGUCUAUGUAGAUCAUGAAAAUGAUAUACUGCUCGUUGGUGAUGACCCAUGGGAGGAAUUUGUGAGCUGUGUCCAGAGCAUAAAGAUUCUUUCCUCUGCAGAAGUACAGCAAAUGAGUUUGGAUGGAGAUCUAGGCAAUCUACCUGUGCCGAACCAAGCUUGCAGUGGGACUGAUAGCGGUAAUGCAUGGAGAGGACACUAUGAUGACAACUCAGCCGCCUCAUUUAAUCGAUGAGAGCAUUCUGUAAUCCCAAAUGAAUGUAGACCUUCAGCUCUCAAGGCUCCUCGGCCUUUAGCAACUUGGAUCAAGCCUAACUCAUUUUAACCACUAAUGUCGAAGAAGGCUUACAAAUAGAGUAGCAAGUGACAACUAUAUCUGUGUGUUAGCCCCUGGCGCUUCGUAACUUGAAUUUGCCUUAGACACGGCUGAGAGUAAACUCAUGUUGGUGUGCUUGCUGCCUGCAGCUUCUAAGAGUUGAAAUUACUCUCCCGUGCCAGUUGGUUCAAGUCUGUACCCUCCUGCAAUUUAUACUGCGAAUUGUAAAGGCUUACUCUAGAAAAGAUCAGAUGAUGUAAAUCUCAUUUUCUGUAAUCAUUUUAAGUAGGUUGCUAAGGCGUCAAGCUUUUGAUAAUAUUUAGCUUGAUAUAGCCGCCCCAUAUUACAUUCUUGGAUGUUAUGAGGACUUUCCAAGAUAAGGCUGCAUAGCUUAAUUCACGGACUUUCGAACACCAAGUACAUCCUUUCUUUGAGAACAUCCUUCAGUGCAGACCUGUUUUGUCUUCAAGACUUCUA
Molecule: RNA transcript, 4860 nt
Organism: Coffea arabica (coffee)
Lineage: Eukaryota; Viridiplantae; Streptophyta; Magnoliopsida; Gentianales; Rubiaceae
Gene name: auxin response factor 19-like
Source: RefSeq, a predicted model, not a curated record